UGGCGGACGGGUGAGUAAUGCAUCGGGACCUACUGAAUGGGGGAUAACGUAGGGAAACUUACGCUAAUACCGCAUACGUCAUACGGGAGAAAGCAGGACCUUUCGGGCCUUGCGCGGUCAGACGGACCGAUGUUCGAUUAGCUAGUUGGUGAGAAUGGCUCACCAAGGCGACGAUCGAUAGCUGGUCUGAGAGGAUGAUCAGCCACACUGGCUGAGACACGGUCCAGACUCCUACGGGAGGCAGCAGUGGGGAAUAUUGGACAAUGGGCAAGCCUGAUCCAGCAAUGCCGCGUGUGUGAAGAAGGCCUUCGGGUUGUAAAGCACUUUUCGGGAGCGAAAUACCAUCGGUUAAUACCCGGUGGGGCUGACGGUACCCGAGGAAUAAACCGGCUAACUUCGUGCCAGCAGCCGCGGUAAUACGAAGGGUGCAAGCGUUAAUCGGAUACUGGGCGUAAAGGGUGCGUAGGCGGUUAGUUAAGUCUGUCGUGAAAUCCCCGGGCUACCUGGGAAUGGCGAUGGAUACUGGCUGGCUAGAGUGUGUCAGAGGAUGGUGGAAUUUGGUGUAGCGGUGAAAUGCGUAGAGAUCGGAAGGAACAUCAGUGGCGAAGGCGGCCAUCGGACAACACUGACGCUGAAGCACGAAAGCGUGGGGAGCAAACAGGAUUAGAUACCCUGAGUCCACGCCCUAAACGAUGCGAACUGGAUGUUGGUCUCAACUCGGAGAUCAGUGUCG
This 733-nucleotide ribosomal RNA is filed under the name uncultured bacterium. RNAcentral's name for it is "bacterial SSU rRNA". It matches the Rfam family "Bacterial small subunit ribosomal RNA", at positions 96 to 848 of the family's 1533-position model. The record is from RNAcentral.